AGCUGCGGUGUCCGAGUGGUUAAGGAGAUGGACUUGAAAUCCAUUGGGUUCUACCCGCACAGGUUCGAAUCCUGUCCGCAGC
This 82-nucleotide transfer RNA is filed under the name Ceratitis capitata (Mediterranean fruit fly). Its description in RNAcentral is "tRNA-Ser". It matches the Rfam family "tRNA". Rfam says of the family: Transfer RNA (tRNA) molecules are approximately 80 nucleotides in length. Their secondary structure includes four short double-helical elements and three loops (D, anti-codon, and T loops). Lineage: Eukaryota; Metazoa; Arthropoda; Insecta; Diptera; Tephritidae. The record is from RNAcentral.